CACUGUUGGGACCGCUCUGCUAAAGAGGAGGAAGGAAUGGGCAACGGUAGGUCAGCAUGCCCCGAAUUAUCUGGGCUACACGCGGGCUACAAUGGGUGGGACAAUGGGUAUCGACACCGAAAGGUGAAGGCAAUCUCCUAAACCCAUCCGUAGUUCGGAUUGUGGGCUGCAACUCGCCCACAUGAAGCUGGAAUCUGUAGUAAUCGUGUCUCAAAAUGGCACGGUGAAUAUGUCCCUGCUCCUU
Molecule: ribosomal RNA, 244 nt
Filed under: uncultured Methanomicrobiales archaeon
Lineage: Archaea; Methanobacteriati; Methanobacteriota; Methanomicrobia; Methanomicrobiales
Description: partial 16S ribosomal RNA
Rfam family: Archaeal small subunit ribosomal RNA
Source: RNAcentral